Notothenia coriiceps (black rockcod) is the source of this 372-nucleotide long non-coding RNA. RefSeq lists it as uncharacterized. The record is from RefSeq and is a predicted model, not a curated record. NCBI's taxonomy places the organism in Eukaryota, Metazoa, Chordata, Actinopteri, Perciformes, Nototheniidae. The transcript is spliced from 3 exons.
AGCUCCACAUGGCAGGCCGACAGCGCCACGUUUGGGGACUCGUGUCCGGGUCCGUCUGCGGAUGUCAACACAGACGUCUGACCUGGGUCCUGCACGCUCAGAGCCAGAGGGACCCCACACUGGUGGCUGUGGUCGAAGCAGGGGAUGGGCACCGUGCUGUGCACCGUCACCUCGUGCUCUUUACUGUUCUCCACUAUGUGCAGCGAUUCUGGAGAAAACUGGAGAGAAAGAAGUCAUUGGUCUAACUGGGAAGGUUUUCUCCAUUUGCUGCUGAUAUGACAAGCCUCUCUGCCUUUACUUUGUGAAAGAAAGAGGUCGGCAUGAUCCAGGGCUUACACACUCCUGGGGUCAAACCCUCCACAUGUGCUCCUC